CUCUCUGACGUGUGUGUUUGUGUCUGUGUGUGCGUGCAUUUGUGUAUCUGUGGGUCACCUAGGUGAUGGCGUGGUGUUUGAUCGAUUUGUUGGAUCCGCAUUGGUGACGGUGUGACGGUUUGUAAGUCUGUGAUCUGUGUUGGAGUGGAGGUGAAACACAGAGUUACACUCAAACCACAGUGUGUACUCGCUUAUAGUUGUUUCAGAACGAGGUUCUCGGCACUCUGCAGCGAGGUCUGGAGGAGAACAUCAGCUGUGACAAUCUGGUUCUGGAGAUCAACUCGCUCAAUUGUUGAAGAAGUGGUCUCCAGUGUUUAAGAACUAUGUGAAGCGAGCUCAGGAGCACUGUCUCUCCACUCUGGAGGAAGUGUUCAUAGAGCACGACAGACACUGGCCUGCUCUCGC
Molecule: long non-coding RNA, 405 nt
Organism: Tachysurus vachellii
Lineage: Eukaryota; Metazoa; Chordata; Actinopteri; Siluriformes; Bagridae
Exons: 3
Source: RefSeq, a predicted model, not a curated record